Molecule: unclassified non-coding RNA, 332 nt
Filed under: soil metagenome
Description: partial contains 5.8S ribosomal RNA, internal transcribed spacer 2, and large subunit ribosomal RNA
Rfam family: 5.8S ribosomal RNA (bases 1-120)
Source: RNAcentral
GAUGAAGAACGCAGUGAAAUGCGAUAAGUAAUGUGAAUUGCAGAAUUCAGUGAAUCAUCGAAUCUUUGAACGCACAUUGCGCCCUUUGGUAUUCCUUAGGGCAUGCCUGUUCGAGCGUCAUUUAAACCUUCAAGCUCAGCUUGGUGUUGGGUGACUGUCCGCUUCACCGCGGACUCGCCUCAAAAUUAUUGGCGGCCGGUACAUUGGCUUCGAGCGCAGCAGAAACGCGAACUCGGGCCCGUCGUAUUGGCUCCCAGAAGCUAUCUUCACAAUUUUGACCUCGGAUCAGGUAGGGAUACCCGCUGAACUUAAGCAUAUCAAUAAGCGGAGGA